GGGUAGGUAACUGACCAAUUGCAUCAGGAAUUUUACCAGAGAUUUGAUUGUGGCUCAAAUUGAGAUUUAUUAGGGACUUCCAUGAUAUUAUAUCUGAUGGAAGUGGACCAGUAAACUGGUUAUGAUCAAGCAGAAGAGUUGUUAGGUGGGGCAGAAGAGUUGUUAGGUGGGGAAGAGAUGUUAGCUCUUGCGGAAUGCUUCCAUUGAAUAGGUUGUGACUAGCAUUGAACACCACCACUUUCUUCCAUGAAGACACUCCAUCUGGAAUUCUACCAGAAAAUUGAUUAUAACUAAUGACCAGAUUUGAAAGAUUCC
RNAcentral lists this long non-coding RNA (315 nucleotides) under Lotus japonicus. Its description in RNAcentral is "long non-coding RNA (LJAP_LNC001348)". The record is from RNAcentral. Lineage: Eukaryota; Viridiplantae; Streptophyta; Magnoliopsida; Fabales; Fabaceae.